CUCCCAGUAUAUGUGCAUAGAAGAUGAUAACGAUCCGACAUAAUUCCUUCGAUUGAUCCGACUACAGUAAUUUUUUCCGGCUCUCCUCUCUUCCUCCCUCUGUUCUGCCUCGAAAAUCUUCCAGGUCAAAAGCUGCUAUUGCCGUGAAGGAAGCCACUGCUAAACUGAUCCCUGUGAGAAGGAGAAAGAGAGACUCUAAGGUGACUGCAGAUAACUUAGAUCCCCUCCUCCCAAUCUCUUCCCUUCCUUAGCGCUUGCUUCUUGAUUGGGGUAGAGCAUGUGGAUUCGCUUUUUCUGAAGAGAUUGCAAAGGACGUCGUUGAUAAUAUUCGGGAGCUGGAGAAGGGGAAAGCAAUGGCGACUCUUUCAGUUCAGUCAUGAUCCUUUCUCCAUUGGGUUUUCUGUCGCGAUGGAGAUUUCUCUACGUCGUCUGUGUUCCUACUCUUAUAUCGGGUGGAGAGCGGCAUCCUCCGAUUGAAGAGGUCAUUAAGGCAGGUGUUGUCCCCCGGGUUGUGGAAUUUCUUUCAAGGCAUGACAUACCUCAGCUGCAGUCUGAGGCUGCAUGGGCCCUGACCAAUGUAGCUUCUGGCACCUCAGAACACACACAAGUUGUUAUUUGAGCAGGGCGCUGUUCCAAAUUUUGUGAAACUUUUAAGUUCACCAAAUGAUGAAGUUAGAAAGCAGAAGUUCUAACAGAUACCUGUUGGGCCCUGUCUUAUCUUUCUGAUGGGACUAAUGACAAGAUUCAGGUGGUGAUACAAGCAGGUGUUUGUCCACGUCUUAUUCAGCUUCUCCUUCAUCAGCUCCCUACAGUUCUCAUUCCUGCCCUCAGAACAGUGGGGAUGAUGCUCAGACCAGGGAAUUGGUUUUCGUAUGGGAGAUCAGUUUAUGUGUUAUUCUCAGCUGCAAUAGGCAAUUGGUACAAUCCUUUGAAAGUAAGGAACAUAUAUUUGCAGAUUUCUUGUGUAUUUUUUACUGUAUGUAAAGUGCCCAUGGGCCUUUCUGAUAGAUCAUUCAUUCACAUAUUUUGUAUUUAAGGCAAGCAUCAAAGUGAUUUUCCUUAAAUAUUGAA
This is a non-coding RNA of Elaeis guineensis (African oil palm), 1071 nucleotides long. The record is from RefSeq and is a predicted model, not a curated record. NCBI's taxonomy places the organism in Eukaryota, Viridiplantae, Streptophyta, Magnoliopsida, Arecales, Arecaceae.